CUGUGUUCUGUUUGCCAAAGGUUGAACAAAAUGAGGACAUAAAAGUGACCUUUGGAUUUAGCGUAGCAUUUUUCUGUGGGGUGGUGUGAAAAAGGCUGAUGACCGGGUAGGAAGUGGGAUGAAUGAGGAGCUGGGCAGCCCUUGAGUACAACUAACUCCUCAGGGAAGCUUUCCAAGGAUGAGGGAGAGAGCAGCUGUAAGGGGACAUAGGAUCAAAGGAAUGGAGGUGAGGGAGAAAACUCUGAGCACAACAGUGAGCUGAUGGCAACGUUGUCAGAAGGAAAGACAGUGAUUGAUAAUGCAGGAGGAAGGAGGAAAAUCCCUGGGAAAAAGCCAUAUACAUUUAUGCCUAUUGGUGCCUAAUUUUAAGGUCAAUUAAUUUUUAGAGUAUAAAUAUAAUCCUUAUUGUGUGGGAAUGAUAAAGGUUGUAUGUUGGAUGUAUUAAUAACCUUUUGGUAAGGUGAUUUUGCAAAGUAGGUAAGCACCCAGAUUCCUAGAGAUAAAUUACUGGGAUUUGAAAAUAGCUGUGUGGCCUUGGGUAAUUUACUUACUGUCUCAGUGCCCCAGCUCCCAAUCAGUAAUAGCAUCUGCAUCAUGGGGUUGUCAUCCAAGUGACCUAAGUUAAUCUAUGUGAAGCAUACAGAGCAGUGUCUGGUUUAUGGUGGAUGUCCUGUGUGCCAAGCACCUCCUUGCUAGUAAUUGUGGGGUUUGAUUCUCUUGAAUAACUUAAGAGUGCUGUCUUUAUAAAAAUUAUUAAUUUAAAUCUUAUUGUUAUUUCUACAUUUUUUUGGAUCGUUAUGUGUA
This 804-nucleotide long non-coding RNA is filed under the name Marmota monax (woodchuck). The record is from RNAcentral. Lineage: Eukaryota; Metazoa; Chordata; Mammalia; Rodentia; Sciuridae.